Molecule: ribosomal RNA, 494 nt
Filed under: uncultured bacterium
Lineage: Bacteria
Description: bacterial SSU rRNA
Rfam family: Bacterial small subunit ribosomal RNA
Source: RNAcentral
GAUGAACGCUAGCUACAGGCUUAACACAUGCAAGUCGAGGGGAAACGACAUCGAAAGCUUGCUUUUGAUGGGCGUCGACCGGCGCACGGGUGAGUAACGCGUAUCCAACCUGCCCACCACUUGGGGAUAACCUUGCGAAAGUAAGACUAAUACCCAAUGACGUCUCUAGAAGACAUCUGAAAGAGAUUAAAGAUUUAUCGGUGAUGGAUGGGGAUGCGUCUGAUUAGCUUGUUGGCGGGGUAACGGCCCACCAAGGCGACGAUCAGUAGGGGUUCUGAGAGGAAGGUCCCCCACAUUGGAACUGAGACACGGUCCAAACUCCUACGGGAGGCAGCAGUGAGGAAUAUUGGUCAAUGGGCGAGAGCCUGAACCAGCCAAGUAGCGUGCAGGAUGACGGCCCUAUGGGUUGUAAACUGCUUUUAGUUGGGAAUAAAAGGCGGUACGUGUACCGCGUAUUGUAUGUACCAUCAGAAAAAGGACCGGCUAAUUCCGUG